RNAcentral lists this unclassified non-coding RNA (343 nucleotides) under soil metagenome. Its description in RNAcentral is "partial contains 5.8S ribosomal RNA, internal transcribed spacer 2, and large subunit ribosomal RNA". The stretch from base 1 to 120 matches the Rfam family "5.8S ribosomal RNA", at positions 35 to 154 of the family's 154-position model. The record is from RNAcentral.
GAUGAAGAACGUAGCGAAACGCGAUAAGUAAUGUGGAUUGCAGAAUCCAGUGAAUCAUCGAAUCUUUGAACGCACAUUGCGCCCGCCAGCAUUCUGGCGGGCAUGCCUGUUCGAGCGUCAUUUCAACCCUCGACCUCCCCUUGGGGAGGUCGGCGUUGGGGACCGGCAGCACACCGCCGGCCCUGAAAUGGAGUGGCGGCCCGUCCGCGGCGACCUCUGCGCAGUAAUACAGCUCGCACCGGGACCCCGACGCGGCCACGCCGUAAAACACCCAACUUCUGAACGUUGACCUCGAAUCAGGUAGGACUACCCGCUGAACUUAAGCAUAUCAAUAAGCGGAGGA